GCUUAACACAUGCAAGUCGAACGGAAAGGCCCUGCUUUUGUGGGGUGCUCGAGUGGCGAACGGGUGAGUAACACGUGAGUAACCUGCCCUUGACUUUGGGAUAACUUCAGGAAACUGGGGCUAAUACCGGAUAGGAGCUCCUGCUGCAUGGUGGGGGUUGGAAAGUUUCGGCGGUUGGGGAUGGACUCGCGGCUUAUCAGCUUGUUGGUGGGGUAGUGGCUUACCAAGGCUUUGACGGGUAGCCGGCCUGAGAGGGUGACCGGCCACAUUGGGACUGAGAUACGGCCCACACUCCUACGGGAGGCAGCAGUGGGGAAUAUUGCACAAUGGGCGGAAGCCUGAUGCAGCAACGCCGCGUGCGGGAUGACGGCCUUCGGGUUGUAAACCGCUUUCGCCUGUGACGAAGCGUGAGUGACGGUAAUGGGUAAAGAAGCACCGGCUAACUACGUGCCAGCAGCCGCGGUGAUACGUAGGGUGCGAGCGUUGUCCGGAUUUAUUGGGCGUAAAGGGCUCGUAGGUGGUUGAUCGCGUCGGAAGUGUAAUCUUGGGGCUUAACCCUGAGCCGUGCUUUCGAUACGGGUUGACUUGAGGAAGGUAGGGUAGAAUGCAAUUCCUGGAGAAGAGUUGAAAUGCGCAGAUAUCAGGAGGAACACCAGUGGCGAAGGCGGUUCUCUGGGCCUUUCCUGACGCUGAGGAGCGAAAGCGUGGGGAGCGAACAGGCUUAGAUACCCUGGUAGUCCACGCUGUAAACGGUGGGUACUAGGUGUGGGGUCCAUUCCACGGGUUCCGUGCCGUAGCUAACGCUUUAAGUACCCCGCCUGGGGAGUACGGCCGCAAGGCUAAAACUCAAAGGAAUUGACGGGGCCCCGCACAAGCGGCGGAGCAUGCGGAUUAAUUCGAUGCAACGCGUAGAACCUUACCUGGGUUUGACAUGGAUCGGGAGUGCUCAGAGAUGGGUGUGCCUCUUUUGGGGUCGGUUCACAGGUGGUGCAUGGCUGUCGUCAGCUCGUGUCGUGAGAUGUUGGGUUAAGUCCCGCAACGAGCGCAACCCUUGUUCACUGUUGCCAGCACGUUAUGGUGGGGACUCAGUGGAGACCGCCGGGGUCAACUCGGAGGAAGGUGGGGAUGACGUCAAGUCAUCAUGCCCCUUAUGUCCAGGGCUUCACGCAUGCUACAAUGGCUGGUACAGAGAGUGGCGAGCCUGUGAGGGUGAGCGAAUCUCGGAAAGCCGGUCUCAGUUCGGAUUGGGGUCUGCAACUCGACCUCAUGAAGUCGGAGUCGCUAGUAAUCGCAGAUCAGCAACGCUGCGGUGAAUACGUUCCCGGGGCUUGUACACACCGCCCGUCAAGUCAUGAAAGUUGGUAACACCCGAAGCCGGUGGCCUAACCGUUGUGGGGGAGCCGUCGAAGGUGGGACUGGUGAUUAGGACUAAGA
RNAcentral lists this ribosomal RNA (1434 nucleotides) under uncultured organism. RNAcentral's name for it is "partial small subunit ribosomal RNA". It matches the Rfam family "Bacterial small subunit ribosomal RNA". The record is from RNAcentral.